Long non-coding RNA from Brassica rapa (field mustard), 2624 nucleotides. RefSeq lists it as uncharacterized. Lineage: Eukaryota; Viridiplantae; Streptophyta; Magnoliopsida; Brassicales; Brassicaceae. The record is from RefSeq and is a predicted model, not a curated record.
AAAAAAAAUAUUAUACGAAGAAAAACAUAAAUAUAAAAAACUAAAUUUAAAAAAAAAAUGUAAAACAAAAAAUAUACCAGAAUCUAGUUGAUAUUAAAACAUUGUUAUAUAGAUAAGCACUAUAAGCACUGUACCUUUGUGUUUGAAAGUACAGAACAUACAAGUAGUUACUCAUUUAUUUAAGAAGGUACCAUCUUUUCUUUUUUUUUGAAGGAAUUUUAAAUUUAUUCAUCUCAAAAAAAACUUUUGUACAGAAAAACUGCAAACAUUUCUAUGAAAAUAUAUAAAGAAAUUUCUUUACUACUCUCUUCUAAAUUCUCUCCAUCCAAACUUCCAUAGACUUCUCAUACUUCCUCCAAUUCUUCCUUCUCAAAGAUGUAAUUCUGUUUCUCACCAAUUUCUCCAACCUUGCUAUCAAACAAGAAGUUGGCUGCGACUUCUCUUCUGCUCUUCUUAUAUUUCUCUCCUGCCAAAGUGCAUAAACAACCGCCUGAAAGCAGUAUCUAAACAGGAACUUAACACAUCUCUCCCAAGUCCCAUUCACCACCAAUCUAACCACUUGAUCCCAUUGGUAAAUAACUCCACUACCCACAAGAUUUCCCACAGUCACUCUCCAAACUUCCUUUGAGUAUGCACACUCAAAGAAAAUGUGAUCUCUGGUUUCCAUCUCUCUUUUGCAGAGCCAACAAAUAGAUAUUGCUUGAGGGUUCCAUCUUAGAACCCUAUCUCCUGUUGCUAAUCUAUUUUGAAUAGCAAUCCACGCAAGAAAAGCAAAUUUCAGAGUUGCUUCAGGAAACCAUAUCCCUGUACUCCAAGAAACUUUAGGCGCAUGAGCUCUUAUGAGAUUCCAUGUUUGAGACGUACUAAAACCUGUCCUGAAAUCUCCACUCUCCCUUUCCAUAGACAGUCAUCCUCCAACAUGUUAAGUCCUCUGUUUUUUAACUUCAUAAUUUCUUGUUCUAUUAGCCGAAACACAGGGGUUCGCUGUCUUCUAACUCUGUAAAUCUGUAUUGCUCUUUCAACUGUUGCAUUUAACGGAAUGCCCAGCGCCAUACACCCUCCAUCUCCUGAUACUUCAAUCAGCUUUCCCAAUGGCGACCAAUCUUCCAACCAGAGAAAGUAUUCGAGCCACUAUUAAUCUCCUUUUUUGUUAGCUGCCGAGCCACCGGUCUAAGAAGUUACACAUUCGAAUAUAAAUUCCAGAAUGCAAUAAUGCAAGGAGUUGAAGAAUUUUUUGAUAUCAGUCAAACACUACUUCUGGAAUAGACUGAUAGAAAAGACACAGGUUCGAAUUAAUUGAAAUCACUGAAAUGUGAUAAGGAUACGACAAUGUUUCACCGACUCGUUCACUUAACAACUACAAAUUUCAUACCAGUAAAUAACUAAAUACCCUUUUUGUGUUAUGAGAUAUCCCAAAAUAGACAUACGCUGAUAGAGAAAAAAAAAACAGGUGUAUGAACUGAAAAGUUUGAAAUCAUUGAGAUCGUCCCUGAUAAUGAAUAGAACAACGUUUCAACGACUAGUGCACACAACACGCUUGCUCACUCAACGCCAGAUACAUAUUCAACAACAGUCUUUAGAAGUCCAUUCUGUUUUGGGUAGAGAAACUAUAAAAUAAAUUUAUAAUGGAUAGAGAUGUGUGCAAAUAGCAGGUUACUUGAAUCAAAAGACAACUCAAGUCAAUAGUUGAGGUUUAUUUUAUAUUCCAUCUUGUUUAUUUAACCUUUUUGUAUAUUUUACCAAAAGGUUAUCAGUUUAUUUCAGCUUCCAAUUUAAAAGUACUAACACGAGAGGUGGGAAUUUUCCAAACGUACAUCAAAACCAAAUGCUAAGGAUGAGAGGCUGCGUGUCAACAGUCAAUCCAACAAUAACAAACUGAAAUGAACAAAUUCUACACUUCGUUUUAAAACCAUUUCUCACUAACCAAACUCACCGUCAACAAGUAAUAGAUAAUACUGACAGAGAUGUGUACUAAGUGUCAGAUUACAAAUCAAUCAUCAAAAAGGAUUAAAUCCUCAGACAGGGAUAACUGUUUUUUGAUAUUUGUACUCAUCAUCCACAACCAAAUUAUAAUUGAAAUCCUUCUUAAUAUCUCAAUAAAUAAAUCAUACAGCAUGAAUUUUUUUAAAUUGGGUUUUAGAUAAUAAGAACUCAGUCCCUUAGAUGUUCAUAAUGAAAUGCGAUCAUUACCGCAAUCAUUACAGGUCUGUAAAAUGACUCAUCACUGUUCUUCCGACAUAUAAAAACAGACAAACACACAGGCAAGAUAUGUAGUCACUCAAGUUAUGCUCCCAAAUCGGCAUCAAUACUAGAAUUAACAGUAUUGAUGCUUUUAAUUGAUUAGGGAGGAUAUUAGAAUAACGAGAGCAUCACAAUUGAUAUUGCUUCAAGGGAACGAAUCAUAUGGGAACGGACAAAUCCACAUCGACUAUCUGAUGAAGCCAUUCAAACUCUAAACUAAAACAAUUAACAACAAAAUCAAAUUCACAAUACCUAUCAGAAUAAUCAAGAUUAAAAACAAAAAGAACUCAGUCCCUUAGAUGUUCAUAAUGAAGUGCGAUCAUUACCGCUAUCAUUACAGGUCUGUAAAUUGACUCAUCACUGUUCUUCCCAACACAAACAUA